Molecule: long non-coding RNA, 397 nt
Organism: Pistacia vera
Lineage: Eukaryota; Viridiplantae; Streptophyta; Magnoliopsida; Sapindales; Anacardiaceae
Exons: 3
Source: RefSeq, a predicted model, not a curated record
UUUUCGUUUAAUAAAGGUCGACUACGUUCUUGCAAUUUUUACGGUGAUCGGUGAUUGUUAACGGCGAUUUACACUAAUGGGUUGGAUUGGUUGUUGGCGAUUGUCGCGUUUAGUGUUCAUUCAGGGUGUUGACAAUUAGUGCUGUUAUUGUGAAGAUUUUCCGUCGAAUGACAAGUUUGAUAGGCGACUUCGAGUGAAACAGCUGAUCAUCGUUGAGACUUCUGAGGUGGGUUAGAAAACAUAGUUGGAAGAGACAAGAAUCGUCUGUGAGUGGAAUUGCUUCGCAUCCUAAUAAUGUUUUUUAGUGGAAAUUCUAAACAGCGGUAUAACCAUCUUUGCCACCAAUGGCAGGUUUUCAACUGAUCACAUUUUGCUCAUUUUUUAUGUUAUAUACUGG